UACGUAGGUGGCAAGCGUUGUCCGGAUUUACUGGGCGUAAAGAGCGCGCAGGCGGUCGUUCAAGUCGCGUGUGAAAGCCCCCGGCUCAACUGGGGAGGGUCACGCGAUACUGAUCGACUCGAAGGCAGGAGAGGGUAGUGGAAUUCCCGGUGUAGUGGUGAAAUGCGUAGAUAUCGGGAGGAACACCAGUGGCGAAGGCGACUACCUGGCCUGUUCUUGACGCCGAGGCGCGAAAGCUAGGGGAGCAAACGGG
RNAcentral lists this ribosomal RNA (253 nucleotides) under uncultured bacterium. RNAcentral's name for it is "partial 16S ribosomal RNA". It matches the Rfam family "Bacterial small subunit ribosomal RNA", at positions 524 to 776 of the family's 1533-position model. The record is from RNAcentral.